Molecule: non-coding RNA, 1267 nt
Organism: Phascolarctos cinereus (koala)
Lineage: Eukaryota; Metazoa; Chordata; Mammalia; Diprotodontia; Phascolarctidae
Source: RefSeq, a predicted model, not a curated record
GUCACUUGCCUUCCUUGGAGGUUCAGCCAAUGGAGUCCAACAUAAGUCUUCUCCCAUCUCUACCUUUAAUGUGAAUGUCCUGCUUGGAUUCCCAGAACAAGGCUCAAGUCAGAGUCAGUUUACAGUGUUCUAAGACUGGCCUAAGACCUACCUUCAUCCUUCAAUCUUGGGCUUCCACCCCCUCAUAAGACUCCUUUUGACUCUCUUGAAGGAGAUGGGAAAAUGAAAGCCAAAACCAAGGUUUCAUUGGACAUGUAGAUGAAGGCUCCAAUUUUGUCUUUUCUUAAGAGGGGAAGGAAAUCACUGGAGUCCAUGUCCGGGUUGGAACAUCAGCAUCCAAGUAUGGCAUGGGACUGAAUGGAGCUUGAGGUACGGUAGUCCUAAGGGCUCUCUCAAGGAAGUCGUCCUAAGCACAGAUGAGUUCAUUGUUCAAGUGACUGGUAGCAAUGGCAAUACGAGGUGCCUCCAGCAACUCACCUUCAUGACGAACAAAGGCAAGAGACUUGAGGUUGGCAGAGUUGAUCCAAAUCAGUUCACCGCUUCCUCCACAGACGGUGGGAAGGCACUGACUUCUAUCUUUGCUCGUUAUGAUUCGGCAUGCUUAACCGGUCUUGCAUUUGAUGGGAUAGCCAUGAAGACAACAAAAGCACCAACAAAACCCACAUUAAAGAACAGGCAUCCAGCCAGCAACAGGUUUUUAAACAACAUGAAAACAGUCAUCCAAUCAACUACUUAGUCAACAGGCAUCUAAGCAACAACUUAUGGCACAGGCAUCCAGAGGACAACUUUUUGAGUCCCAAACUAAAAAACAAUCUUCUGAUGCUCCAGCCAAAAGGGGGUAGUAAUCCAAACCAUAGCCAUUACCAUUUUUGCCUAUCCCUGACACCCUAGAAUGGAAUUAACAGCAGUGAUAAUUCAAAUUAUUCAAGCCCUGUUUAUAAGCCUGAUACCUAAAAUUAUCAAGUUCCUGGCCGUAAUGAUUACCCUGCAAACUACCUUGUAUUCAGUUGCAAUCAUGAUUCCCCAAAUUCCUUAGGCCCUGCCUGCAACCAUGAAUUCUCAUAGUCUGUAGAUGAAAGUGAUAACCCAUCAAAGAAUUCAAUGGAAGUCCCUGUACCCUGAAACAAACCAGACAUUUAGGCAGGGAUUAAACAUGUAGAAUAUAUCUACGUAUCUAUAUCUCUGUAUCUAUCUAAACACACACAUAUUUGCAGAGAAUUACCCUGGAAAUCCUGUUUUCAAGGGAUAUGAUUGAGAUGGAGGGACA